RNAcentral lists this ribosomal RNA (528 nucleotides) under uncultured bacterium. RNAcentral's name for it is "bacterial SSU rRNA". It matches the Rfam family "Bacterial small subunit ribosomal RNA", at positions 8 to 531 of the family's 1533-position model. The record is from RNAcentral.
AGAGUUUGAUCCUGGCUCAGAUUGAAUGCUGGCGGCAUGCCUUACACAUGCAAGUCGAACGGCAGCACGGAGCUUGCUCUGGUGGCGAGUGGCGAACGGGUGAGUAAUAUAUCGGAACGUACCCUAGAGUGGGGGAUAACGUAGCGAAAGUUACGCUAAUACCGCAUACGAUCUAAGGAUGAAAGUGGGGGAUCGCAAGACCUCAUGCUCGUGGAGCGGCCGAUAUCUGAUUAGCUAGUUGGUAGGGUAAAAGCCUACCAAGGCAUCGAUCAGUAGCUGGUCUGAGAGGACGACCAGCCACACUGGAACUGAGACACGGUCCAGACUCCUACGGGAGGCAGCAGUGGGGAAUUUUGGACAAUGGGCGAAAGCCUGAUCCAGCAAUGCCGCGUGAGUGAAGAAGGCCUUCGGGUUGUAAAGCUCUUUUGUCAGGGAAGAAACGGUGAGAGCUAAUAUCUCUUGCUAAUGACGGUACCUGAAGAAUAAGCACCGGCUAACUACGUGCCAGCAGCCGCGGUAAUACGCAGG